AGAUGUGAGGACGAUCUGGCUGUGACAUCUAUCACCUUAUUGAUUGUCAGGGUUGAUUCUGCUGAUCUGACUGGCUAGGCGGGUGUCCCCUCCCUCCCUUAUCAAUCCAUGUGCUUCCCUUCAGAAGCUGCUGCACACUGGGUCAAAGAGGAUGACCAACCACAAUAGAGGAGGAUCGUUCUUCCUAUCAAGAGUAUAGGAAUAGCUACACUCCUCUGCUAGAACCUCCAAACAAGCUCUCAAAAAGUUCCAUUUAUAGUUCUACAAAUAUUGAUACCCAAUCUAACUUAGAAGUCCUUUAAAUAACCUU
RNAcentral lists this small nuclear RNA (310 nucleotides) under Castor canadensis (American beaver). Its description in RNAcentral is "7SK RNA (ENSCCNG00000018233.1)". It matches the Rfam family "7SK RNA". Rfam says of the family: 7SK was discovered as an abundant small nuclear RNA in the mid-70s but a possible function has only recently been suggested. Two independent studies have found that 7SK RNA binds the CDK9/cyclin T complex (known as elongation factor P-TEFb). Lineage: Eukaryota; Metazoa; Chordata; Mammalia; Rodentia; Castoridae. The record is from RNAcentral.